This 453-nucleotide ribosomal RNA is filed under the name uncultured bacterium. RNAcentral's name for it is "bacterial SSU rRNA". It matches the Rfam family "Bacterial small subunit ribosomal RNA", at positions 30 to 481 of the family's 1533-position model. The record is from RNAcentral.
AUUGAACGCUGGCGGAAUGCUUUACACAUGCAAGUCGAACGGCAGCACGGGGCAACCUGGUGGCGAGUGGCGAACGGGUGAGUAAUACAUCGGAACGUGCCCAAUCGUGGGGGAUAACGUAGCGAAAGUUACGCUAAUACCGCAUACGAUCUACGGAUGAAAGCGGGGGAUCGCAAGACCUCGCGCGAAUGGAGCGGCCGAUGUCAGAUUAGGUAGUUGGUGGGGUAAAGGCUCACCAAGCCAACGAUCUGUAGCUGGUCUGAGAGGACGACCAGCCACACUGGAACUGAGACACGGUCCAGACUCCUACGGGAGGCAGCAGUGGGGAAUUUUGGACAAUGGGCGCAAGCCUGAUCCAGCCAUUCCGCGUGCAGGAUGAAGGCCUUCGGUUGUAACUAGCUUUGUACGGAACGAACGGCGAGCUCUAAUACAGUUUGCUAAUGACGGUACCGU